GCGGGCAUGGCUCAGGGGUAGAGCGUCAGCUUCCCAAGCUGAGAGUCGCGGGUUCGAAUCCCGUUGCCCGCUCCA
RNAcentral lists this transfer RNA (75 nucleotides) under Candidatus Poribacteria bacterium. Its description in RNAcentral is "tRNA-Gly". It matches the Rfam family "tRNA". Rfam says of the family: Transfer RNA (tRNA) molecules are approximately 80 nucleotides in length. Their secondary structure includes four short double-helical elements and three loops (D, anti-codon, and T loops). Lineage: Bacteria; Candidatus Poribacteria. The record is from RNAcentral.